RNAcentral lists this small nucleolar RNA (65 nucleotides) under Carlito syrichta (Philippine tarsier). RNAcentral describes it as "Small nucleolar RNA SNORD77 (ENSTSYG00000024089.2)". It matches the Rfam family "Small nucleolar RNA SNORD77". From Rfam's summary of the family: U77 belongs to the C/D family of snoRNAs. It is predicted to guide 2'O-ribose methylation of large 28S rRNA subunit at position A1521. The record is from Rfam by way of RNAcentral. Lineage: Eukaryota; Metazoa; Chordata; Mammalia; Primates; Tarsiidae.
AUACUAUGACAGCUGCAUGGUUCAGCAAACUGAAUCAUGAAGAGAUCUACCAUAUAGCUGUGAAA